AGUGAACCAGUACCGUGAGGGAAAGGCGAAAAGAACCCCGGCGAGGGGAGUGAAAAAGAACCUGAAACCGUGUACGUACAAGCAGUGGGAGCACCUUCGGGUGUGACUGCGUACCUUUUGUAUAAUGGGUCAGCGACUUAUAUUCUGUAGCAAGGUUAACCGUAUAGGGGAGCCGCAGGGAAACCGAGUCUUAACUGGGCGUUAAGUUGCAGGGUAUAGACCCGAAACCCGGUGAUCUAGCCAUGGGCAGGUUGAAGGUUGGGUAACACUAACUGGAGGACCGAACCGACUAAUGUUGAAAAAUUAGCGGAUGACUUGUGGCUGGGGGUGAAAGGCCAAUCAAACCGGGAGAUAGCUGGUUCUCCCCGAAAGCUAUUUAGGUAGCGCCUCGUGAACUCAUCUUCGGGGGUAGAGCACUGUUUCGGCUAGGGGGUCAUCCCGACUUACCAACCCGAUGCAAACUACGAAUACCGAAGAAUGUUAUCACGGGAGACACACGGCGGGUGCUAACGUCCGUCGUGAAGAGGGAAACAACCCAGACCGCCAGCUAAGGUCCCAAAGUCACAGUUAAGUGGGAAACGAUGUGGGAAGGCACAGACAGCCAGGAUGUUGGCUUAGAAGCAGCCAUCAUUUAAAGAAAGCGUAAUAGCUCACUGGUCGAGUCGGCCUGCGCGGAAGAUGUAACGGGGCUAAACUGUGCACCGAAGCUGCGGCAGCGACACUAUGUGUUGUUGGGUAGGGGAGCGUUCUGUAAGCCUGCGAAGGUGGCCUGUGAGGGUUGCUGGAGGUAUCAGAAGUGCGAAUGCUGACAUAAGUAACGAUAAUGCGGGUGAAAAGCCCGCACGCCGGAAGACCAAGGGUUCCUGUCCAACGUUAAUCGGGGCAGGGUGAGUCGACCCCUAAGGCGAGGCCGAAAGGCGUAGUCGAUGGGAAACAGGUUAAUAUUCCUGUACUUGGUGUUACUGCGAAGGGGGGACGGAGAAGGCUAUGUUAGCCGGGCGACGGUUGUCCCGGUUUAAGCAUGUAGGCGGAGGUUCCAGGUAAAUCCGGUACCUUAUUAACGCUGAGGUGUGAUGACGAGGCACUACGGUGCUGAAGUAACAAAUGCCCUGCUUCCAGGAAAAGCCUCUAAGCAUCAGGUAACAUUAAAUCGUACCCCAAACCGACACAGGUGGUCAGGUAGAGAAUACCAAGGCGCUUGAGAGAACUCGGGUGAAGGAACUAGGCAAAAUGGUGCCGUAACUUCGGGAGAAGGCACGCUGAUAUGUAGGUGAAGCCCCUGCGGGUGGAGCUGAAAUCAGUCGAAGAUACCAGCUGGCUGCAACUGUUUAUUAAAAACACAGCACUGUGCAAACACGAAAGUGGACGUAUACGGUGUGACGCCUGCCCGGUGCCGGAAGGUUAAUUGAUGGGGUUAUCCGUAAGGAGAAGCUCUUGAUCGAAGCCCCGGUAAACGGCGGCCGUAACUAUAACGGUCCUAAGGUAGCGAAAUUCCUUGUCGGGUAAGUUCCGACCUGCACGAAUGGCGUAAUGAUGGCCAGGCUGUCUCCACCCGAGACUCAGUGAAAUUGAACUCGCUGUGAAGAUGCAGUGUACCCGCGGCAAGACGGAAAGACCCCGUGAACCUUUACUAUAGCUUGACACUGAACAUUGAGCCUUGAUGUGUAGGAUAGGUGGGAGGCUUUGAAGCGUGGACGCCAGUCUGCGUGGAGCCAACCUUGAAAUACCACCCUUUAAUGUUUGAUGUUCUAACGUUGGCCCCUGACCGGGGUUGCGGACAGUGUCUGGUGGGUAGUUUGACUGGGGCGGUCUCCUCCCAAAGAGUAACGGAGGAGCACGAAGGUUAGCUAAUCCUGGUCGGACAUCAGGAGGUUAGUGCAAUGGCAUAAGCUAGCUUGACUGCGAGCGUGACGGCGCGAGCAGGUGCGAAAGCAGGUCAUAGUGAUCCGGUGGUUCUGAAUGGAAGGGCCAUCGCUCAACGGAUAAAAGGUACUCCGGGGAUAACAGGCUGAUACCGCCCAAGAGUUCAUAUCGACGGCGGUGUUUGGCACCUCGAUGUCGGCUCAUCACAUCCUGGGGCUGAAGUAGGUCCCAAGGGUAUGGCUGUUCGCCAUUUAAAGUGGUACGCGAGCUGGGUUUAGAACGUCGUGAGACAGUUCGGUCCCUAUCUGCCGUGGGCGCUGGAGAAUUGAGGGGGGCUGCUCCUAGUACGAGAGGACCGGAGUGGACGCAUCACUGGUGUUCGGGUUGUCAUGCCAAUGGCAUUGCCCGGUAGCUAAAUGCGGAAGAGAUAAGUGCUGAAAGCAUCUAAGCACGAAACUUGCCCCGAGAUGAGUUCUCCCUGAGACUUUAAGUCUCCUGAAGGAACGUUAAAGACGAUGACGUUGAUAGGUCGGGUGUGUAAGCGUAGCGAUACGUUGAGCUAACCGAUACUAAUGAACCGUGAGGCUUAACCUU
This 2457-nucleotide ribosomal RNA is filed under the name Klebsiella aerogenes. Its description in RNAcentral is "bacterial LSU rRNA". It matches the Rfam family "Bacterial large subunit ribosomal RNA", at positions 489 to 2925 of the family's 2925-position model. Lineage: Bacteria; Pseudomonadati; Pseudomonadota; Gammaproteobacteria; Enterobacterales; Enterobacteriaceae. The record is from RNAcentral.